Long non-coding RNA from Syngnathoides biaculeatus (alligator pipefish), 1152 nucleotides. RefSeq lists it as uncharacterized. The record is from RefSeq and is a predicted model, not a curated record. The transcript is spliced from 4 exons. NCBI's taxonomy places the organism in Eukaryota, Metazoa, Chordata, Actinopteri, Syngnathiformes, Syngnathidae.
UUCACACUUCUAGUGGCAAACCUAUCUGGAUGAGAGCAGCUACAAAAAUAAAACAUUUUAAACAUUGAUGAACAGAUAUAUCAAUCCAUCCAUUUUCUUAGCCGCUUAUCCUCACAAGGGUCACGGGACUGCUGGAGCCUUUCCCAGCUGUCAACGGGCAAGAGGCAAGGAAACCGGAGUGCCCGGAGAAAACCCCAGGCAGACACAGGGAGAACAUGCAAACUACUCACAAGCGGGUCCGGGAUUGAGCCCGGGACCUCAGUGUGGGCAACGCUUUCCAGCUAAGGCACUGUGCCACCGUGAACAAAUACAUGUUUGGCAUAAUCAGGGGAUAAUUUGAGCUCCAAAAAGGUUUUUCCCGAAUUACCUCUGCGUCUCCCGUGUACUUCUGCAUUUGGGUCCUACCUCCGUUCCGAUGGGUCGUGACAAAAACAUGCAAACCCACAUCGACUUCCAACAUAAAAGACAGCGAAGAAAAGAGUUCCUUUCCAACAAGAGUGAAUUCAGAGCACAAGAGGCUGCAGAUUGUUACAAGAUCGCAAGGACACUUAUUCAUGUGAAACGGGCAAACGAAAGAAUAAAAAGUUUCGAGAUAUUGGGUCACAUAUCUGCCCCAUACAGACCCGUGCAACAACUUUAGUAAACUUACAACCACCAUUGCUAAAAGCUAUAUCAGAAGCUGGAAGAAUGCAAAUAAUUACUGUACAAGAAGUUAAGUAUUAAAAGCUGUGUAGAUUAUCAACCAGAUGAUUGAUCUUCCGAUAUAUAUUUAGGAUAAAUUGCAUUUAUUUUAGAUGUGAAAAUAGAUUAAAUGUUGAGUGCCAAAUUUUACGUUAUAAAUGUAAUCUGUAUACAGUCUCUGUGCUAUUAGUCAGUAUUUUCUAUUUUAAACUGCAUUCUUUAAAAUGUCUUAUGUAAUGAUUUAGAACUAACACACCACGUUCAUUACAGAAGUUGAAUCUGUGUUCCAACGUAUGUACAAUCAGCAGUACAAACAAUCAAAUAAAAACAUUGUUUUCUUUAAACAUGUCAUGACCCAUCGAUACGGAGGUAGGACCCAAAUGCAGGAGUCGGGAGAUGCAGAGGUAAUUCGGAGAUGUCGCCACCUCCUGGAGAGCAACGUGAGGCGGCGGCGGAUCGGUCUCCACUGCC